This 421-nucleotide ribosomal RNA is filed under the name uncultured bacterium. RNAcentral's name for it is "bacterial SSU rRNA". It matches the Rfam family "Bacterial small subunit ribosomal RNA", at positions 917 to 1338 of the family's 1533-position model. The record is from RNAcentral.
GGACCCGCACAAGUAGUGGAGCAUGUGGUUUAAUUCGAUGCAACGCGAAGAACCUUACCAGGGUUUGACAUCCUGCGAAUCUCUUGGAAACGAGAGAGUGCCUUCGGGAACGCAGUGACAGGUGGUGCAUGGCUGUCGUCAGCUCGUGUCGUGAGAUGUUGGGUUAAGUCCCGCAACGAGCGCAACCCACGUCGUUAGUUGCCAGCAUUUAGUUGGGCACUCUAGCGAGACCGCCGGUGAUAAACCGGAGGAAGGUGUGGAUGACGUCAAGUCAUCCAUGCCCCUUACAUCCUGGGCUACACACGUACUACAAUGCUACGGACAAAGGGCAGCAAACUCGCGAGAGCUAGCAAAUCCCAUAAACCGUGGCUCAGUUCAGAUCGUAGGCUGCAACUCGCCUACGUGAAGGAGGAAUCGCUAG